UACGUAGGGGGCCAGCGUUGUCCGAAGUUACUGGGCGUAAAGGGCGCGUAGGCGGGGAAGAAAGUCUGCUGUGAAAGCCCGGAGCUUAACUCCGGAGGGUCGGUAGAUACUUUUUCUCUUGAAGCUGCUAGGGGGAGAUGGAAUUACCGGUGUAGCGGUGAAAUGCGUAGAUAUCGGUAGGAACACCUGUGGCGAAGGCGGUCUCCUGGGGCAGACUUGACGCUGAGGCGCGAAAGCUGGGGGAGCGAACGGGAUUAGAUACCCCGGUAGUCCCAGCCCUAAACGAUGGAUACUAGGUGUCAGGGGUAUCGACCCCCCUGGUGCCGCAGCUAACGCAGUAAGUAUCCCGCCUGGGGAGUACGGCCGCAAGGUUGAA
Molecule: ribosomal RNA, 376 nt
Filed under: uncultured bacterium
Lineage: Bacteria
Description: bacterial SSU rRNA
Rfam family: Bacterial small subunit ribosomal RNA
Source: RNAcentral